UUGGGCCUGAAACGUAGACUAGGGGGCCACUUUCGGAGUACUUGGUUACUCACUUCUCCCCCGGGAAGGUCUGAGAUCAGGACUGUCUUUCAACCUCUUAAUUGGAGGGUGUUCCCUAAAUAAGGGGCGCGGGGUAACAGAAAAAGCAAUGACAUAUCCUUGGCAAGAGUUUAAUGCGGAUAAGUGGUUGGUGGGAUAGCCCCGUAGUCGGCGAUUUGAGUGCAAUCUCUACGGCGUAACCUCUAAAGCGUAACUCAAUUCAGACUAAUCUCAGGACCAA
RNAcentral lists this RNase P RNA (280 nucleotides) under Rhodnius prolixus. Its description in RNAcentral is "nuclear RNase P". It matches the Rfam family "Nuclear RNase P". From Rfam's summary of the family: Ribonuclease P (RNase P) is a ubiquitous endoribonuclease, found in archaea, bacteria and eukarya as well as chloroplasts and mitochondria. Its best characterised activity is the generation of mature 5'-ends of tRNAs by cleaving the 5'-leader elements of precursor-tRNAs. Lineage: Eukaryota; Metazoa; Arthropoda; Insecta; Hemiptera; Reduviidae. The record is from Rfam by way of RNAcentral.